This 371-nucleotide long non-coding RNA is filed under the name Musa acuminata (dwarf banana). RNAcentral describes it as "long non-coding RNA (MACU_LNC009339)". Lineage: Eukaryota; Viridiplantae; Streptophyta; Magnoliopsida; Zingiberales; Musaceae. The record is from RNAcentral.
GGGCCGGCAGAGCAUCGUAGGCUCUAAACACAUACCCUUUACCAUUUCUGGCAAAGGUCUAGACAAUCCCACAAACAACAGAGUACAAGAGGGUAGUUUUAACAAUAAGUAGCAUAUAACGGAAGCACACGCGGAACAACAAAACGUACAUGUGCCUUUUCGAGACAAUACGAUGCAAGGAACAAAUCUCUCACAAAUGUAUUCAAAUUUGGAAUGAAAUGAAAGCAAGAUUAUACAGGAAUUCCAAGCAAUCAUAUUUAGCUCAAUUCAAAUAAGAAGGUUGGAUGAAUUCAAUAUCCAAAGGAAUGGAAUAGAAUACGCGAAAUCGACCAAAGCUGGAUUUCUGACAGAAUUCAAGUGGCACAUCGAAC